Molecule: long non-coding RNA, 1009 nt
Organism: Lethenteron reissneri (Far Eastern brook lamprey)
Lineage: Eukaryota; Metazoa; Chordata; Hyperoartia; Petromyzontiformes; Petromyzontidae
Source: RefSeq, a predicted model, not a curated record
UGUUUGUGCGCGCGUGCGUGCGUAUUUGUGCGCGCGCACCUGGGAGGCGGUUGGUGCCAACCUUGCGACCCGAGUUCGAUUCCCGCUCACGGUCAACACCAGUGACGAUUAUUCUGAACCGGUCCUGGGCCUCCCCUAGGUCGACUCAGCCUCAAAUAAGUACCUGGUGGGAGUUACUCUGGUGGGAGUUGUUUGACGACGCGUCGCCGCGCUGUCUCCUACAACCCAGGGUUCCCCAACCCCCGGGCCGCUACCGGUCCGUGUCCUGUUAGGAACCGGGCCGCACAGCACGAGGUGAGAGCGACUUGGCCCGACCCUCAACUUAUGCAGCUGUCUCUCUACGGUGGUGUCAAGACGAUUCACAGUCCGCGGGGGGGAGUUGAGCUCGCUGUGCGACUGGCAGCAAAAGUUGACUUAAUUUAAAACAGCGAGUGUUCAAACCCCACCCGCAGUUCUCUUUGACCCCCAAGACGCUGCCGUUGCCCCUUGUGACCGGGAGGACGGCUUAGCGGUGACGACAUUCACAGUCGCCGUCUUCACGCGCCGCAUCCCGUGGAAGGACUUUGCGAGGAGCGUCGUCGUGAGCGCGACGGAGGGACGAAUCAUCCCACGGCGACGCGAGCCGUGGCAAACGCAGCGCGCCACGUGCUGUCACAACUCCCCGUUCGUGCAACCACGUGAUUAGUUUUCAUCAGCCACGGUCAAUCCACUCCUUGUAAAUGAUCCCGCAAUCCGAUAAUCCGCCUAGCACCCUUCGCGCUAGCUCAUUUCAUCGCUCCAUCUACUCGGCCGCGUGUUCGCGGAAUGAUUCCAUGCUUUGGUUGCCACUCCGUUAUGAAUCGUCACCAUCCAUCAUCAUCAUCGUCCCUGCUAGCUCUGACGUGUCUUGGUUUGAAUCACGACGUUACCUGUGUGUGUGUUUUCGAAUGCACGUGUAACCUACCGCUUCCUUACUCUCAAUGUAAUUCCAAAUGAUACAUCGCUUCAUACUUGUACGUGCAUUUUUCAG